Molecule: ribosomal RNA, 255 nt
Filed under: uncultured bacterium
Lineage: Bacteria
Description: partial 16S ribosomal RNA
Rfam family: Bacterial small subunit ribosomal RNA
Source: RNAcentral
GUCCACGCCGUAAACGAUGGAUACUAGCUGUUGGGCGCAAGUUUCAGUGGCUAAGCGAAAGUGAUAAGUAUCCCACCUGGGGAGUACGUUCGCAAGAAUGAAACUCAAAGGAAUUGACGGGGCCCGCACAAGCGGUGGAGCAUGUGGUUUAAUUCGAUGAUACGCGAGGAACCUUACCAAGGCUUAAAUGUAGUUUGACCGUUUUGGAAACAGAACUUUCGCAAGACAAAUUACAAGGUGCUGCAUGGUUGUCGU